UACGUAGGGAGCAAGCGUUGUCCGGAUUUACUGGGCGUAAAGGGUGCGUAGGCGGCUUUGCAAGUCAGAAGUGAAAUCUAUGGGCUUAACCCAUAAACUGCUUUUGAAACUGCAGGGCUUGAGUGAAGUAGAGGUAGGCGGAAUUCCCGGUGUAGCGGUGAAAUGCGUAGAGAUCGGGAGGAACACCAGUGGCGAAGGCGGCCUACUGGGCUUUAACUGACGCUGAGGCACGAAAGCGUGGGUAGCAAACAGG
This 253-nucleotide ribosomal RNA is filed under the name uncultured bacterium. RNAcentral's name for it is "partial 16S ribosomal RNA". It matches the Rfam family "Bacterial small subunit ribosomal RNA", at positions 524 to 776 of the family's 1533-position model. The record is from RNAcentral.